UAAGCCAUGCAUGUUUCCGCAAUCAGGGACGAAUAGCUCAGUAAAACUGCGAUGAUUUAGUCUGGCUGUGUAGAUAACUACGUGAAAAUGUAGCUAAGGGAAGGCAGAAUAAGACGCAGGACUAUCAGUUAGUUGGUAGUGUAAUGGACUACCAAGACAGUGACGGUUGACGGGAAAUUAGGGUUUUGUACCGGAGAGGGAGCCUGAGAGAUUGCUCCCACGUCCAAGGACGGCAGCAGGCGCGAAAAUUGCCCACUCUUUGCAGGAGGCAGUUAUGAGACGUGAAGAUGAGUAUCUUGUAAAGAGGGAUAGGAGAAUUGGAGGGCAAGUUUGGUGCCAGCAGCCGCGGUAAUACCGACUCCAAGAGUGUGUAUGAGAGAUGCUGCAGUUAAAAAGUCCGUAGUCAUAGAAGGGCAAAGAGAGAUGCGAGGUCUCACAGUGCGAUGAUGGAGGAGCCGAUGGGGAACAUAGUAUACCAGGGCGAGAGAUGAAAUGCCAAGACCCCUGGUGGACUGAGCGAGGCGAAGGCGAUGUUCUUGUAGGCAUUCGGU
Molecule: ribosomal RNA, 551 nt
Filed under: Vittaforma corneae
Lineage: Eukaryota; Fungi; Microsporidia; Nosematidae
Description: SSU rRNA
Rfam family: Microsporidia small subunit ribosomal RNA
Source: RNAcentral